Molecule: ribosomal RNA, 254 nt
Filed under: uncultured bacterium
Lineage: Bacteria
Description: partial 16S ribosomal RNA
Rfam family: Bacterial small subunit ribosomal RNA
Source: RNAcentral
UACGAAGGGAGCUAGCGUUGUUCGGAAUUACUGGGCGUAAAGCGCAUGCAGGCGGAUCGUUAAGUCGGGGGUGAAAUCCCGAGGCUCAACCUCGGAACUGCCUUCGAUACUGGCGAUCUUGAGUCCGGGAGAGGUGAGUGGAACUGCGAGUGUAGAGGUGAAAUUCGUAGAUAUUCGCAAGAACACCAGUGGCGAAGGCGGCUCACUGGCCCGGUACUGACGCUGAGGCGCGAAAGCGUGGGGAGCAAACAGGG